Long non-coding RNA from Pseudophryne corroboree (corroboree frog), 303 nucleotides. RefSeq lists it as uncharacterized. The transcript has 3 exons. Lineage: Eukaryota; Metazoa; Chordata; Amphibia; Anura; Myobatrachidae. The record is from RefSeq and is a predicted model, not a curated record.
UUGGUGGUGAUGAGACUGGCGUGAUAUUUGGAGUAGUCGUACCAGAACUGCUGGUUGUUUGCUGUUGGUGCAUGCAUCUGAGAGUUUCAUUCAGCAUCUUAUACCCAAUGUCAUACUGUAUGACUCAAGUGGACAUACAUAUCUUUACUGGAUGUGGACAAGGACAUUUAGUUUGGAUUCCAUUUCAGCUUUUACUUACUGCGUUUGAUACUCACAAUCAAGAUGAGGGGAGUGUGGAUGACGUCUUGGAGGUGUGUCCAUAAUUUGGAGUGGGGGCACCGAACAUGCGGACGAUAAUCUUCG